GUAAUAACGUGGAAAGGGAGUAGUAAGCAGCGAAUCCUUCAGAGAGCGGAGCCGGCUACAUGCUGAGAGGUUCUGCAGGACGUACCUGUUGAAGUCGCCCCGGAGUUGCCGGAUUGAAGCGGAAUGCUUAGAUUCGGCCGGUCACAGCCGUUAUCUGUCUAAGAGCCGUAUGCAUACAGGCGGCCGGGAACGUUCCGGUUAGUCGUCAGGCAUGCGGAAUAAAGGUGGUACCACGGAAGCGUAAGCCUUCGUCCUUUGC
This 259-nucleotide non-coding RNA is filed under the name Paenibacillus sp. RNAcentral describes it as "T-box sequence". It matches the Rfam family "T-box leader". From Rfam's summary of the family: Uncharged tRNA acts as the effector for transcription antitermination of genes in the T-box leader family. The record is from RNAcentral. Lineage: Bacteria; Bacillati; Bacillota; Bacilli; Caryophanales; Paenibacillaceae.